This 471-nucleotide ribosomal RNA is filed under the name uncultured bacterium. Its description in RNAcentral is "SSU rRNA". It matches the Rfam family "Bacterial small subunit ribosomal RNA", at positions 26 to 518 of the family's 1533-position model. The record is from RNAcentral.
AGGAUAAACGCUGGCGGCGUGCCUAACACAUGCAAGUCGAACGCGCUUUCGGGCUUCGGUGCGAGAGCGAGUGGCGGACGGGUGAGUAACACAUGGGUACCUACCUUGGAGUGAGGGAUACCGGCGAGAAAUCGCCGACAAUACCGCAUAGGCUUCUUCACAAGGGAAGCAAAGUGACGCGAGUCACGCUGUGAGAUGGGCCUGUGGCCGAUUAGCUAGUUGGGGGGGUAACGGCUUCCCAAGGCGACGAUCGGUAGCUGGUCUGAGAGGACGAUCAGCCACACUGGGAUUGAGAACGGCCCAGACUCCUACGGGGGCAGCAGUGAGGAAUUUUCCGCAAUGGAGGCAACUCUGACGGAGCAACGCCGCGUGCAGGAGGAAGGUUUUCGGAUCGUAAACUGCUUUUCUCGGGGACGAGCAAGGACGGUACCCGAGGAAGAACGCCCCGGCUAACUACGCGCCAGCAGCCGC